This 464-nucleotide ribosomal RNA is filed under the name uncultured bacterium. Its description in RNAcentral is "partial 16S ribosomal RNA". It matches the Rfam family "Bacterial small subunit ribosomal RNA", at positions 339 to 795 of the family's 1533-position model. The record is from RNAcentral.
CUACGGGUGGCAGCAGUAGGGAAUCUUCGGCAAUGGACGGAAGUCUGACCGAGCAACGCCGCGUGAGUGAAGAAGGUUUUCGGAUCGUAAAGCUCUGUUGUAAGAGAAGAACGAGUGUGAGAGUGGAAAGUUCACACUGUGACGGUAUCUUACCAGAAAGGGACGGCUAACUACGUGCCAGCAGCCGCGGUAAUACGUAGGUCCCGAGCGUUGUCCGGAUUUAUUGGGCGUAAAGCGAGCGCAGGCGGUUAGAUAAGUCUGAAGUUAAAGGCUGGGGCUUAACCAUAGUACGCUUUGGAAACUGUUUAACUUGAGUGCAGAAGGGGAGAGUGGAAUUCCAUGUGUAGCGGUGAAAUGCGUAGAUAUAUGGAGGAACACCGGUGGCGAAAGCGGCUCUCUGGUCUGUAACUGACGCUGAGGCUCGAAAGCGUGGGGAGCAAACAGGAUUAGAUACCCUGGUAGUC